UUGGAUUCAAUAUAGGCCUUAUCACUUUUAGGAUGUUUGGUGUUGAAUAUCGAUAUAACCAUAGAGAAAUGGCUGAACUUCUAGGAUCCCCAAAUGGCCCUGAUGUUUUUACCGUCACCCAAGAAGAAUGACUCACGAACCUUGAACUAAACUAUUUUGGGGGAAGAAUUACCGGAAAUAACCAUCCUGAGCCAAAUGGCAUGCAUUAUGAGAACAUUCAUAAUCCUGCGAUCUG
This 235-nucleotide long non-coding RNA is filed under the name Lathyrus oleraceus (garden pea). RNAcentral's name for it is "Pisum sativum (pea) long non-coding RNA (PSAT_LNC010955)". The record is from RNAcentral. Lineage: Eukaryota; Viridiplantae; Streptophyta; Magnoliopsida; Fabales; Fabaceae.